RNAcentral lists this ribosomal RNA (443 nucleotides) under uncultured bacterium. RNAcentral describes it as "partial 16S ribosomal RNA". It matches the Rfam family "Bacterial small subunit ribosomal RNA", at positions 338 to 795 of the family's 1533-position model. The record is from RNAcentral.
CCUACGGGUGGCAGCAGUGGGGAAUAUUGCACAAUGGGCGAAAGCCUGAUGCAGCAACGCCGCGUGAAGGAAGAAGGGUUUCGGCUCGUAAACUUCUAUCAACAGGGACGAAAGAAAUGACGGUACAUGAAUAAGAAGCCCCGGCUAACUACGUGCCAGCAGCCGCGGUAAGACGUAGGGGGCAAGCGUUAUCCGGAAUUACUGGGUGUAAAGGGUGAGUAGGCGGCAUGGUAAGCCAGAUGUGAAAGCCUUGGGCGUAACCCGAGGAGUGCAUUUGGAACUAUCAAGCUAGAGUACAGGAGAGGAAAGCGGAAUUCCUAGUGCAGCGGUGAAAUGCGUAGAUAUUAGGAAGAACACCAGUGGCGAAGGCGGCUUUCUGGACUGAAACUGACGCUGAGGCACGAAAGCGUGGGGAGCGAACAGGAUUAGAUACCCCUGUAGUC